Molecule: ribosomal RNA, 428 nt
Filed under: uncultured bacterium
Lineage: Bacteria
Description: partial 16S ribosomal RNA
Rfam family: Bacterial small subunit ribosomal RNA
Source: RNAcentral
GUGGGGAAUAUUGGGCAAUGGGCGAAAGCCUGACCCAGCAACGCCGCGUGAAGGAAGAAGGUUUUCGGAUUGUAAACUUCUGUCCUCAGGGAAGAAGGAAGUGACGGUACCUGAGGAGGAAGCCCCGGCUAACUACGUGCCAGAAGCCGCGGUAAUACGUAGGGGGCGAGCGUUGUCCGGAAUGACGGGGCGUAAAGGGCGCUUGGACGGCCGAAUAAGUCUGGAGUGAAAGUCCUGCUUUCAAGGUGGGAAUUGCUUUGGAGACUGUUUGGCUUGAGUGCGGAAGAGGUAAGUGGAAUUCCCAGUGUAGCGGUGAAAUGCGUAGAGAUUGGGAGGAACACCAGUGGCGAAGGCGACUUACUGGGCCGUAACUGACGUUGAUGCGCGAAAGCGUGGGGAGCGAACAGGAUUAGAAACCCCGGUAGUCC